CCUACGGGAGGCAGCAGUGGGGAAUAUUGCACAAUGGGGGAAACCCUGAUGCAGCGACGCCGCGUGAGUGAAGAAGUAAUUCGUUAUGUAAAGCUCUAUCAGCAGGGAAGAAAAUGACGGUACCUGAGUAAGAAGCCCCGGCUAACUACGUGCCAGCAGCCGCGGUACUACGUAGGGGGCAAGCGUUAUCCGGAUUUACUGGGUGUAAAGGGAGCGUAGACGGCAGUGCAAGUCUGGAGUGAAAGGCGGGGGCUCAACCCCCGGACGGCUCUGGAAACUGUACGGCUGGAGUGCAGGAGAGGUAAGUGGAAUUCCUAGUGUAGCGGUGAAAUGCGUAGAUAUUAGGAGGAACACCAGUGGCGAAGGCGGCUUACUGGACUGUAACUGACGUUGAGGCUCGAAAGCGUGGGGAGCAAACAGGAUUAGAUACCCUUGUAGUC
This 440-nucleotide ribosomal RNA is filed under the name uncultured bacterium. Its description in RNAcentral is "partial 16S ribosomal RNA". It matches the Rfam family "Bacterial small subunit ribosomal RNA", at positions 338 to 795 of the family's 1533-position model. The record is from RNAcentral.